UACGGAGGGAGCUAGCGUUGUUCGGAAUUACUGGGCGUAAAGCGUGCGCAGGCGGUUCGUUAAGUCAGAUGUGAAAGCCCCGGGCUCAACCUGGGAACUGCAUUUGAAACUGGCGGGCUUGAGUGCGGCAGAGGGGGGUGGAAUUCCGCGUGUAGCAGUGAAAUGCGUAGAGAUGCGGAGGAACACCGAUGGCGAAGGCAGCCCCCUGGGCCGACACUGACGCUCAGGCACGAAAGCGUGGGGAGCAAACAGG
Molecule: ribosomal RNA, 253 nt
Filed under: uncultured bacterium
Lineage: Bacteria
Description: partial 16S ribosomal RNA
Rfam family: Bacterial small subunit ribosomal RNA
Source: RNAcentral